GCCGAGGUGGUGGAAUUGGCAGACACGCUAGCUUGAGGGGCUAGUGACCGCAAGGUUCGUGCGGGUUCGAGUCCCGCCCUCGGCACCA
RNAcentral lists this transfer RNA (88 nucleotides) under candidate division WS1 bacterium. RNAcentral describes it as "tRNA-Leu". It matches the Rfam family "tRNA". Rfam says of the family: Transfer RNA (tRNA) molecules are approximately 80 nucleotides in length. Their secondary structure includes four short double-helical elements and three loops (D, anti-codon, and T loops). The record is from RNAcentral. Lineage: Bacteria; Bacillati. RNAcentral also lists the same sequence under 1 other name.